CUUCCCUAACCAGAUCAGGGACCAGAACAUUCUCACUCCCUAACUGGCUUGCGGUUUUCAAGAUUCACCAGAACUGCUCUUGGUUACCUGAUGCCCAUGUCUUUGACUUCAAGUUGGUAGGUGCAGCCUGCCCCAGCUUGCCUACCUUGCCCAAAAGUGAAGCUAAUAACUGCACUUCUUCACCUUCUUCUUGGGUUCUGAACUGUUGUUCUUGACCUUCUUGGGGGCACAGACGUCCUCCUUAAGACCCUGUACCUUGUUGCCUGCCCAUUUGUAGUCAUGAGAUCUCUUACCUUGUCAAUGUGUUUUGAAAGGGGCAUCAGGAAAGCUGUUUACCGCAGGCUUCCCAAAGGCUGACAAAACAGCUGACUGAGCUUUCCGUUGCCCUGAUAAUGUCUUGUCCAUUUUAGCUGGGUAAUGGAUUAGGUCAGUUCCCCUGAAAUCAUCCAUCUGACACUAAUUUCUCAAAUCAUGGGUAUGAGCCAUCAUUGCCUUCUGCUUUUUUCUUUUAAUAGCAUCAGUAGUUGAAAAAAAGGUGAGAGAAGUGUCAGAGUCUAGUCAAACUGGUCUCAGAGCAAAGCAAAUGGCUGAAAAUUGCCCUGCUAUAUUUGCUUUAAAGACUAUCCACAUGUUCUGAGUCUAAAGGGACCCUGGAGAGACCCCUUCCAGCCUGUCCACGUUGUAGUAUGUACCUACACAAACACAUUUUCAACUGGCCUCCUGGCCUUCAACCCCAAAACAGACAUGCUCUGAUCUCUGGUAUUCAGAACGUUUGAAAAUCUGUUUUGAUUAGUUGAGAUGUUCAGCAAAGCCCUACUGGGUAGGAAUGCUGUUUUUGGAAAUGAAACUCACUAAUUGAUAAUUUACCUUUUGCAUCAGAAGAAAUACAGCUUUCCCACUGUAUUUACUGUCUUUUUCAGCACAUUAGCUGCUGUCUUGUUGAUGUGUUUAAGUGAAGAAAACUUGGGAGUGUUUUCAUAACCUAGGACUCUGGCAACCAGGUCCUCGUGUACACUCCUUAUUUAUGAAGAGGUUUCCUGUUUGGAAAUUCAAGGUCAGAGACAGAGACUUUAAAAAUCAAUGUCUAGACUCCUCUAUUUUGUGUGUUUCUCUAGGAAUGAUGGAGAAAUCCAUCUCUUGGGCAAACUCAUCUUUUUUCCUUUCUAAACUUCUUGAACAUCACUCCACACUUUCUUGGAUUUCAGGCAUUCUGAACGUGCUUUCAAACUCAGCUCUAUCACAUCCAUUAGUAUUUCCCACAUCCAUCUUUUUCAGAGUCCGCAUUUAUCUUUGCCCAACAGGGUCACAGCUGUAACUGGUUUCUUGAACAGUCUGAACUCAGUGGGGAAUGAACAUUAAACCAUCCUGUUUUGCUCCAGUCACUGACUGAGAUCAUGCUCAAAGGAAUUUCUCUUUAUUGUAUUUUGGACAACAUCUUGGCCAGAUUAAAACUGGGGUCACUUUUACUGAUUUAAAGUGAGUCAAUUUUAAAAUUCUGGUCUCCUUUCUGAUUGAAAUAUUGGUUCCUCCUCCCUCCCAGGAGAUCUGCAAUGAGGAUGGGCAGGGUCUGCUCUUUCAUUUUCCUUUCACUAUGGAGAGGGAGGAUAAGGGUGGAAUAUGUCUCGGGGAAAACUUCUCUCUGGAGGUCAUGAGGGCUGCUCGUAGUGCUUCUGUUCUCUGUCUUGCCACUUGGAGGAGUUACACUUUUCCACUCCCUCAUGGACUUUUACACUGACAGAUAAAGGAAAAGGCAUGUGUGGGAAUCUACAUUCUUAAAGCUUGCACCUGGAAGUGACUCAUCUCACUUCCAGUUAGUUUUUAUCAGCCAAAAUGAGCAAUCCUAUUGACCACUUAUUCUUCUUACUUGAAAGUUCAAUCCAAGCUUUGCAUGCUGCCCCCAGUCCAGAAUCUCUGAGUGAGGCUGAGAAGCCAAUUUGCUGGGUCUGAACAUGGCAAUUCUUAGUCUGAAGAUCCAUGAACAUGAUAGACAAUCUAUCUAUCUUCCACAUGCCCAUUAUGAAGUGGUGGAGGAAGCAUAGGGCAACCAGAAUAAAUGUUCUUAUUUAGAAAGAAGGAGGAACAGGAGACACAAAGCAGCUACGGGUCCACAGCAAUUCUGAAAUCCAGCUAGGCAUGUGCUGACAGUGUGGAUGGUCCUGGAUGCAGGCCCUAGCUUUGCUCACUAGGAGUUUCCUGGUCCACUGUUCCCCAUGGCUUUUGAAUCUGUUGUUCUAGAAUAUUCUUUCUUUUCCAUUAUUCUGUGACCUAGUCAGAUAGAUAUGGGCAAUUAGUCUGACUUUGAGCACUGAGACAUUUCAUCAAUCUGCUUCAUAACAGUGGAGACCUAAGAUCAUUCUAAGUCUUGAACAGUCACUGACUUCUUUCAGUCCAUAUAAGGUGGUUUCAUUGGUAGUAUAACUGUUGAAAAUAGCAAGUACCAUAUCUAUCAGAUUCCAUUCAGUUAUAUUGGCCAAUAACCACACAGUUCAUUUUUAGACACACUAAUUCAUUUUUCUGAAGUUCUUCUGUCUCCAGUUGGGUUAAUUAGGAGCCCUCUAGGCUUUUAUUUUUUCUCCCCUAAGCACUGUUUAAAACUGGAGGAAAUAAAUAAGAAUUAAGCCUUUGGUUGUAUCUUGCUCUUCUAUCUCCUUAAUCAAUGCAGAGGUUUUAACAAUGAGUUUGCAGAUCUCACUCUUGAUUUUUAUCUUUGAUGAGUUCUAAUUGGCCUUUAUCAUCCUUACAAUUUUCUUUUACAAAUUGAGAAAAGAGAAUUAGCAGCUUAUUGAAUUUUUUUAUUGGUGGAUUUUAUUUUCUUUUAUUUCUGCCUGACCCUAGCCAAUUCUUUUCUUUUCUUUUUUUCUAUUUACAUUUGCACCUGCAGCAUAUAGAUGUUCCCAGGCUAAGAGUUGCUGCCUAUGCCGCAGCAACACUGGAUCCUAGCUGCAUCUGUGACCUACGCUGCAGCUUGUUGCAAUACUGGAUCCUUAACUCAUCGAUUGAGGCCAGGGAUAGAACCUGCAUCCUCUUGGAGACAGUGUCAGAUUCUUAAUCCUCUGAGUCACAACAGGAACUGCUAUUCUUUUCUGAACUCAUCUAUUUCUCAUAAUACUUUAUCCAAUAAAGCUAGCAGCAACCAGCACACAAUAGGAAUAUUUUAUGAUUUCUUUCAUUAAUUCUACUGGUAUUCUCUUCCUUCAAUUUAUUUCUGGCAAUGGUUUUACCAAAAAUAUCACUGGUAUGUAGCAUUGAUCAUCAUCCUUUUAGCUUCCUAACAGUUUCCUAGCUGUUUAUCACCAGAUGACUAAGCAGUGCUAUGUAGUUAUGGUUUAAUGUUAUAUAUCAUGACUGCAUCUCACACUGAAUACUAAUUUCUAUAUCACUAAGGAUAUGCUAAGUAUCACUACCUAGAAUACGCUGUGGUAAAAAACAACCCUAAAACUUUAGCGGCUUAACAAAGUUUGUUUCCUGCUCCAGUUGCAUGUCCAACACAAAAUAAUAGAAGAACAUUGCUCCUAUGAUUGUUCAAGAACUCAGGUUGUUGGAGGCUCCAUGUAACUAGUGUUCACUGACUAUAGCUAGUUACAUGGCUACAACUAACUUCAAACUGGAGGGGGAAGAGUAAGGCUACCAGAUGCCUGGCAAGAACACUGGCAUGUUUGUGAACAGCCCUAAUGAAUAUUAUAAUCAUUGUAGCAAAAUAGUAAUUGCUUUUAGCUUUUGAUAGUUUAACUUGCCCAUCUGUGGUGCAGCUGUGGAAUGUACAAGAAUCUCAGCAAUCCUGAUACUCCCCUCAAGUAUGUUUUUUUUUUUAUAUUCUUCCCAAUUUACUUAAUAGCAAUUCCAUUUGCUCAUUUUUGUUGUUGUUGUUUCUGUUCAAAAAUCUUAUCUUUCACAUUUCUUCUUUCACACUCAGCAUCAAAUCUGAUAGCCAAUGCUAUUGGUUUUACCUUCAAAAUAUAUCCAUAAUAUUAUCCCUUCUCUCCAUCUCAGCCGUUAGCAUUUAGCUCUAAACUACCGUUGUUGUUCACCUAAUUGGUUGCCCUUUUUCUACACUUAAACUUGUAAUUAUUCUCAACAUAUUUCUCAUCAUAACUUUUAAUGAAAAAAGCUUAUAAUAUAAUUACUUGGCUCAAAACUCCCCAAGGUCUAUAUCUCUAGUACCUAAGACAGAACAGUGCCUGCCACCCAGUUGGCACUCAGGAAGGUGUGUUAAAGAAAUGAAUAAAACUAUGAAAAGACAGAUCCAUGCUGCUGAAAUGAGCAUUCAUGUGGGAAUUUUGUAUAUGGUGAAAGGGGCAUUUUUCACUUCAGUAAAUAACAAAUGUUGGAGUGGGUGUGGAGAAAAGGGAACCCUGGCAUGUUGUUGGUAGGAAUGUAAAUGGGUGCAGCCAUGAUGGAAAAAAGUAUGGAGGUUCAUCAAAAAAAUGAAAAAUAGUACUACCAUAUAAUUCAGAAAUCCCACUUCUGGGCAUACAUCCAAAGGAAAUGAAAGCAGAAUAUCGAAGUGAUAACUGUGCUUUCAUGUUCACUGCAGCAUUGUUCACAACAGCCAAGAUAUGGAAAUAACAAGUGUCUGUUAAUAGAUGAAUGGAUGGGAAAGAUAUGUACUGUUGCUCAACCGUGAGAAAGAAGGAGAUCCUGUCUUUUGUGACAAUAUGGAUGGAACUUGAGGGCAUUGCACUAAGUGAACUAAACCAGAGAAGGACAGAUCCUGCAAGGUAUCAUUAUAUGUGGAAUCUUAAAAAAAAAAAAAAAGUCAAACUCUGAGAAACAGGGGGUUGAAAAGGGCUUACCACGGGCUGCGGGGUUGGGCAAAUGGUGAGAGAGGUUGGUAAAGGGUAAAAAGCUUUCAGCUAUGAGAUGAAUAAGUUCUGAAGACAAUGUCAAACAUGGUAACUAUAAUUGAUAACACUAUAUAUUUGAAAAUCUGAAUUUCUUUUCUGAAGAUAAAUAAUAAUAAUGCAUUAAUUUUUUUUCUUGGAACAUUAUUUGAGUUAUCCACUCAUGCAUUCACUUGUCACAUAUUUUUGAGAACUAGAGAUAGGAUCUGCUUAGGCAGUAGGCACAGGU
Molecule: long non-coding RNA, 5070 nt
Filed under: Sus scrofa (pig)
Lineage: Eukaryota; Metazoa; Chordata; Mammalia; Artiodactyla; Suidae
Description: lncRNA (ENSSSCG00000061232.1)
Source: RNAcentral